AUGGACCAUGAAGCCGGCACAAGCCAAGUUCAUGUCCUGGAUAGGCUUCUGCUUGAUGAAAAUGCAGACCCCACAAACCUGCCGUUUUCACUUCUGCAAGACAUCACAAAUCAUUUCUCUCUUGAUCACCAAAUUGGUAGCGGCGGGUUCGCGGUGGUUUAUAAGGGAGUGGUCGGCAAAUGCAUGGUUGCCGUGAAGAAGCUGUCCAACACGUUUGCUGUUCCCGAGAAUAAAUUCCAUGAAGAGGUUAGAAACCUGAUAAGGGCCAAGCACAAGAAUAUAGUACGGUUUCUGGGAUAUUGCGCUGACAUGCAAGGAAAAAUGGAAGAGUACGAGGGGAAUCUUGUCAUGGCAGAUCAACGGAACUGGUUGCUCUGUUUUGAAUAUGUAUGCAACGGGAGUCUUGAUAAGCACAUUUCCGAUGCAUCUUGUGGACUUAACUGGAGGGAGCGAUAUCAAAUAAUCAGGGGGAUAUGUGAGGGUUUACUUUUUCUCCAUGAGAAGAGAAUUAUUCACUUAGACCUUAAGCCUGCUAACAUAUUGCUAGAUGGUCACAUGGUACCCAGAAUUUGUGAUUUUGGUCUAUCAAGAUGCCUUGAUAAAGGUCAGACCCGUUUAAUUACUAAAAGCCGGUGUGGAACACUGGGAUAUAUGGAUCCAGAGUACCUCAGAUCAGGAAGAACCACAUUUGCGUCAGACAUAUACAGUCUUGGCACUGUAAUCUUGGAGAUACUAACUGGAGUGAAGCGGUAUCUCGAAGAGGAGACCGUAGUUCAAAGUUGGAUGAUUCGGUUGGAGGCAUCAGUGGGGGACAUGCAGUUGGAACAAGUGAGAGUAUGCUAUAAGAUAGGUAUAGAAUGCAUGAACCUGGACCCAAAGAAGAGACCAGUUGCACACCAUAUAAUUGAUAGGCUUGACAAUAUGGCAAGUGCUGACUGUUCAUAUGAAACUGGCACCAACAGUUCAUUAGUUGAGCUGCAUCCGAGUUUAUCAAGUGAACAAUUGGGAGGAAGGCUCGCAACCGAGAGACUCCGCAAAGCGGAUGCCGAGGAACACUCUAAAAUAUUGGAAGAUUCAUCAUGCGGAGCCCAAGAUACAAAGCAAAAGGCAAACCAGCAUAUUGCAAACAUUUUAAACUCUAUCUCAACCGUCUUCAACAAGCUGAACAAUUUGGACAUCUUUAACAGCAAAGCACGCAUGUGUUUCAAUAGAAACUUCAUGCGACAUAGAUUAGAAGAAUCAGCUACUAUAAUGAUCUUUGCAAAGGACGAACUCAAGCCAGUACUCAGGAAUAGCAAUUUGAUUGGGAAAGGUCCUUUUGAUGAAGUUUACAAGGGUGUGGUUGAUAAUGCACAGGUCGCAGUUAGGAAACUAUAUAAUGGUAAUGCCAUAAUGGAUGACCAAUUUGCAAAUGAGAUCAUCAUCUGGUCUCAAGUCAACCACAAAAACAUUGUUAGGCUCAUAGGUUGUUGCCUGGAAAUGGAUACCCUCAUCUUAGUAUACGAGUUUGUACCCCGAGGAAGCCUUCAUGACAUUCUUUACAGCAACAACAAGGUGUCUCUCAGCCUGGAUGUGCGUCUAACUAUUGCUGCAGAAUCAGCACAGGGUCUAGCUUAUCUGCAUUCGCAAGCUUUUAACCAAAUUCUGCAUGGCCGCAUUAAACCAGCGAGUAUACUCUUGGAUGAUUACUUUACACCAAAGAUCUCAGACUUUGACCUGUGGGGGCUGAAUGUGAGAGAUGAGGAUCCAGUGUACAUCGUUGACAUGUCUUAUGCAGAUCCACUAUACAUGCAAACGGGCCUGCUGACCGAGAAAAGUGAUGUCUACAGUUUUGGAGUUGUGAUCUUAGAGCUCAUAAGCAGGAAGGAGGCCUGUCGUUCUGCUAAUAACAGCCUAGCGAGAAGUUUCCUUGAGGUUCACGAAGAAAGGAAGAAAGCAACCGGGCUGUUUGACAAGGAAAUUGCAGUAACAACACGAGAUUUGGAGCUUCUUGACUGUCUUGCAGAGAUUGCAGUGGAAUGUCUUGACCUUGAUGUGGACCAAAGGCCCACGAUGAUAGAACUUGCGGCACGCCUUCUCAUACUGAACCGAUCUCGUAGGUCAAGGGUUGUUCACCAACAAGUUUGA
RNAcentral lists this ribosomal RNA (2127 nucleotides) under Triticum aestivum (bread wheat). Its description in RNAcentral is "partial small subunit ribosomal RNA". The record is from RNAcentral. Lineage: Eukaryota; Viridiplantae; Streptophyta; Magnoliopsida; Poales; Poaceae.